AUUGCUUUUCUGUGUUUUGGCUAAGAUCAAGUUUAGUAUCUGUUCUUAUCAGUUUAAUAUCUGAUACGUCCCCUAUCUGGGGAUCAUAUAAUAAAUUGACUUUUUGAACAGGGAGAUGAAAGAAGAACUUGCUCUGUCCACUCUAUGCACUGACCUUGUAUUGCAGUACCUUCAGAACCGGUGCACCAAAA
Small nuclear RNA from Bombina bombina (fire-bellied toad), 191 nucleotides. RefSeq annotates it as U2 spliceosomal RNA. The transcript has a single exon. The record is from RefSeq and is a predicted model, not a curated record. Lineage: Eukaryota; Metazoa; Chordata; Amphibia; Anura; Bombinatoridae.